This 328-nucleotide ribosomal RNA is filed under the name Bostryx sordidus. RNAcentral describes it as "partial 16S ribosomal RNA". It matches the Rfam family "Bacterial large subunit ribosomal RNA", at positions 1944 to 2542 of the family's 2925-position model. The record is from RNAcentral. Lineage: Eukaryota; Metazoa; Mollusca; Gastropoda; Stylommatophora; Orthalicidae.
GACUGUGCUAAGGUAGCAUAAUCAUUUGGCCUUUAAUUGGGGUCUAGCAUGAAAGGAUAAACUAAGGAAGUCUGUCUUUUUGAAUAUUAUAAUUAACUUAAUCAGAAGGUGAAAAUGCCUUUAACAAUAAGCAAGACGAGAAGACCCUUAGACUUAUUUACUAUUUAAAUUUAUUUAAUUAUACGGUUUUUGCUGGGGCGGCAAAGCUUCAAAUUUAACAAGCUUCAAUAUAAUAUCUAUAUAACAAAUAUAUUUCUUAAAAGUUAAGUACCUAAGGGAUAACAGCAUUAUUAAAUAAUUAGAUUGUGACCUCGAUGUUGGACUAGGA